CACGUAGGGCGCGAGCGUUGUCCGGAAUUAUUGGGCGUAAAGAGCUCGUAGGCGGCCUGUUGCGUCCGCUGUGAAAGCCCGGGGCUUAACCCCGGGUCUGCAGUGGAUACGGGCAGGCUAGAGGUAGGUAGGGGAGAAUGGAAUUCCCGGUGUAGCGGUGAAAUGCGCAGAUAUCGGGAUGAACACCGGUGGCGAAGGCGGUUCUCUGGGCCUUACCUGACGCUGAGGAGCGAAAGCGUGGGGAGCGAACAGG
This 253-nucleotide ribosomal RNA is filed under the name uncultured bacterium. RNAcentral describes it as "partial 16S ribosomal RNA". It matches the Rfam family "Bacterial small subunit ribosomal RNA", at positions 524 to 776 of the family's 1533-position model. The record is from RNAcentral.